AGCGAACGCUGGCGGCAGGCCUAACACAUGCAAGUCGAACGAACUCUUCGGAGUUAGUGGCGGACGGGUGAGUAACACGUGGGAACGUGCCUUUUGGUUCGGAAUAACUCAGGGAAACUUGUGCUAAUACCGAAUGUGCCCUUCGGGGGAAAGAUUUAUCGCCAUUAGAGCGGCCCGCGUCUGAUUAGCUAGUUGGUGAGGUAACGGCUCACCAAGGCGACGAUCAGUAGCUGGUCUGAGGGGAUGACCAGCCACACUGGGACUGAGACACGGCCCAGACUCCUACGGGAGGCAGCAGUGGGGAAUCGUGCGCAAUGGGCGAAAGCCAGACGCAGACAUGCCGCGUGAAUGAUGAAGGUCUUAGGAGUGUAAAAUUCUUUCACCGGGGACGAUAAUGACGGUACCCGGAGAAGAAGCCCCGGCUAACUUCGUG
RNAcentral lists this ribosomal RNA (433 nucleotides) under uncultured bacterium. RNAcentral describes it as "partial 16S ribosomal RNA". It matches the Rfam family "Bacterial small subunit ribosomal RNA", at positions 29 to 507 of the family's 1533-position model. The record is from RNAcentral.